This 471-nucleotide ribosomal RNA is filed under the name uncultured bacterium. RNAcentral's name for it is "bacterial SSU rRNA". It matches the Rfam family "Bacterial small subunit ribosomal RNA", at positions 8 to 507 of the family's 1533-position model. The record is from RNAcentral.
AGAGUUUGAUCCUGGCUCAGGAUGAAUGCUGGCGGCGUGCCUAACACAUGCAAGUCGAGCGGUAACAGGUCUAGUUUACUAGAUGCUGACGAGCGGCGGACGGCUGAGUAACGCGUAGGAACGUGCCCCAAAGUGAGGAAUAAGCUCCAGAAAUGGAGUCUAAUGCCGCAUAUGAUCUUCGGAUUAAAGUAUUUAUACGCUUUGGGAGCGGCCUGCGUUAGAUUAGGUAGUUGGUAGGGUAAUGGCCUACCAAGCCGACGAUCUAUAGCUGGUCUGAGAGGAUGAUCAGCCAGACUGGGAUUGAGACACGGCCCAGACUCCUACGGGAGGCAGCAGUGAGGAAUCUUCCACAAUGGGCGAAAGCCUGAUGGAGCAACGCCGCGUGAAGGAUGAAGGCCCUCGGGUCGUAAACUUCUUUUAUAAGUGAAGAAUAUGACGGUAACUUAUGAAUAAGCACCGGCUAACUACGUG